This 237-nucleotide ribosomal RNA is filed under the name Triticum aestivum (bread wheat). RNAcentral's name for it is "partial small subunit ribosomal RNA". Lineage: Eukaryota; Viridiplantae; Streptophyta; Magnoliopsida; Poales; Poaceae. The record is from RNAcentral.
AUGGUCGUGCACUACGAAAGAUCAUCCGCAGCACCACCACGCCUAAUAACUACUAUUACUUUAAUGUCCACUUUUCUAUGGGUUCCCUUUUCCCACACAUGGAUGCUGGCCACGGUGAACUUCCAAUCACAACUGGAGACGGAACAACCACUGUCACGGCCCGCUUUAUCAAGGGAGUUGACAAAAGGGCCACCAUCACUAAAGGCUGGAGCGACUUCUUCCGUCGGACCCACAUGA